UCCUUGUCGCCUUGCUCGUCGCCUCCAGAGAUCCUCGUCUCCUUGCUCGUCGCCUCAUCGUUCUCUCUCUAAGAUCCGAAGGUUGUCUUUGGUGAUAUCUUUGAUCUUCUCGGAACCGCUCCAGAUUCAACUGUAGGUUUCUCUUGGAUCUCUCUGUCAACAUGAAUCCAAAUUCAUCCGAGGUACCAGUUUAAAAUAGCACCAACAUGAAGAGAAGGAAACCAAACCAAGCAAAACGAUACACUGCAUAGUUAAUGAUCAAUGGAUAGCAAAGAAAAGGGAAGAGAACGCUGGCAAAUACAUAUGAAACACAAAGGGUAAUCGGAAGCUUCGAGAUGAAAGGAAAAUCCAAGGCUUUUCAAAGAAAUUAGUGAAAAGACUUAGAAAGGCUAUAACGUCAUAAGCUUGGAUUUACAUAUACAUCAUCAAAAUUUACUUUUAUUCUUGUUAUAGUACUUGAUUGAUCAAUCACCAUAUAGAUACAACAACUCUAAUAUCGCAUAAUUAAUCCCUAAAAAUAAAUUUAUUGUUAAAACAUUUAAAAUUACAUUCAAUAAAUUUAUACAAAAUCUAACAUUAUAAUGUAAAAUAAAAUUAUAAAUUUUACCACGUGCAUUGCACAUGCAAUCCAACUAGUAAAUAUAAAUGUUUUAGUUUGACUAUUUUGUGUUUUCUUUAUCUAUUAAUAGGCACAUCCUGGAGCAAAACAAUUUCGUUACAAACCUGAACCGUGUUUUGAAAACUUGCAAAUCAUUUAUGGGAAAGACAUGGUUGUUGGUUGAUCUUCUGAAACUAUCAAAGAAAGACGUGCUCGCAUAGAAAAUGAAAGAGAUGAAUCAAGUUCUAUCCAGUGUUGUAAAUAGCGGCCAAUAGCGGGGCUAUAGCGGCGCGAAUAGCGGUCGCGGCCCUUCAGCGCUACGCGUAGGGGUUUCACGGCUGGCUUAAGCGGGAAAAUCCGCUAUUCAUUCGAAUAGCGCGUAAAAGCGGAUUUUAGCGGGUUAAAAGCAGAUUUUCGCGGUUAAAAGCGGAUU
Long non-coding RNA from Asparagus officinalis (garden asparagus), 1031 nucleotides. RefSeq lists it as uncharacterized. The record is from RefSeq and is a predicted model, not a curated record. Lineage: Eukaryota; Viridiplantae; Streptophyta; Magnoliopsida; Asparagales; Asparagaceae. The transcript is spliced from 3 exons.